AGUUCGGCGCUGAUCGAGUGCUAUUUUCCAGUAUAGUUUUGGCGGCGGUCAGUGGCGCUUGGCGCAACGAAAGCAAUAGCAACACGGUGCAGUGGAAGUGAAGUGAUAAAAAUUCAAAAAGAAAUUGAAAAAAAAAAAUUAAAAAAAUUUAAUCAAAAUAAAAAAAAUAGAAAAUGGUUCGAUAUCUCAAAAGAAUUUCGAUUUUCUAUUUUUGCAAGAAAUUAAAGAGAAAAAGUGUUAUGUGCAUCGGAGGUUUAGCUAAAUGUGUGCUCGGCACGAAUACAGAGUAUUUGAAAUAAAAAUUGAAGAAAAGCAUGCGUUCGUCCAUGCAGAUUGGCGAAAAAUAAAAUAAAAAUGCAAAGUGGUCAACUCAAGUUACAGUUAUUCGGAUAAAAAAUGAAAAAAUUAAGACGCAAAAGUAAAAAAUAUUUCAGCGUCAGCUGCGCCUGUUAGUCUUAUAUCUAUUAGCGCACGCACACUAGUGUGCGCUGCGAUCUAUUGUAAACGGCGGCGUCAAAACUGCUGUUUUAUAUGUUUUUUGUAGUAUGUUUAUUUUUGUAAAUGAGUAGCAUGCCUUCGAAAUAUCAGACGACCGAGUUCAAGGCUAAAUUUGUGUGAAUAGUGAUCAUAGCGCCCGUUCAAAGUGAAGCAGCUCCGUCAUUGUGUCAUUUUUAUUUAAAACUAUUUCAGUUAUUUGCUGACGAAGCAUAUAUUUGAGAUUGUCGGUAUCCCACUUACUAUAAUUGUGGGCGUGUCAGUUUAAGAAUUGAUAGAACUACCACCGCGGUCGCGGAUUUGAUAUAAUCGAUUACGCACUAUCGAUGUGAGUUUCAGAAACAUGCUGUCUGCUACACAUCGACCUAAAACUUCUAGCGAUCGAUGGCGCAGCUCCGACCCGCGCUCGCGGCAAUAAAGUGACGGUCGCGCGUUCAUUACCCCCGGUAGAUAACGAACGCAAAAAAUAAAAGUUUAAGCAAACAAAUGCCCGUAAUCGCAGUUGUGCAUUUAUAUGUACUCACGUGGGGUCUGGUGAACCCACUUACGCCGGUGCGUCCGUUCAUUCGUUUGUUGGCUCAUCUGCGGUUCGCUUUAGCGCCUAUGUUUUUGUUAUUUUCGUAUUUCGUAAUUAAUGAUGAUUUUAUUUCGUUGCCUAAGUCGCAUUAAAGAUGCUUGCAUGUGUGCAUGCAUUUCGGGGCAAACCAGAUUCAUGCAUGCCGUCAAUAUUUGAGGCGAAGUGGAAAAAAUAAUGCCGCAUUUGGGCUUCGAGAGCAUCUGAAGAUUGGACCAAAACUGUUAUAAAAGCGAACUACCAGACGUCUUGAAGAUUGAGCUCCUUGUAAAUAAAUAUGUCUAAACAUUGUCUAACAAGUCUAAGCCGCACUGCAGUACAAUCACAAUUUGUCUUUAAGAAUCAUGGCAUUUUGAACUUUUUCUGGCAUCUACCACUGAAUUUAAUCAUCAAAUUUAUCUACAAGCGCCUCUACUUAUGGACUUUCUUAAUAAGCAACCACUUUUCAAAACCGAACCGAACAAAAGCUCUAACUAAAGAACCAGUCACUCAAAUGGAUUGUUUCAAAACUUUUGAACCUUUCGAAAAAACGAAAUGUUAUGAUUACCGAAAUAAAAUCCUCUUUGUGGUAAUUUAAUUACUGAAACCAACAAAAAUGUAUGAAGCUGCAAUUGAGAGUCUUAUGAAAUUUUAUAUGUGAGAAUGACAAAAGACGUUUGAUAGAAUUGAUCCCCCGAAGGAGAAAAUUGUAUAACAUUGGGACAAUGUCAUCACUUUUAACGAGCGAUUCUUAGGUCAGUCGCGGUGUUUGUUGCCAAACUCAUACGAAACGGCUGUACCGAUUUUGCUGAAAAUUGGUAGCCUAUCGGAUCCACAAGAUCAAGAUAUACGUAAAGAAAUGGAGAACAGUAUCCAACAUAUAAAGAUGCAUGUCUUUUACUGGGAUUGCUAGAAGAUGCUUGCUACAGCUGAAUAAAAUUGCACAGGAAUACAAAUUUGUCUACUAUUUAUUACUGAUAACAUGUUUUCCGAUCCGGGCACAAAUGUUGUGUGAUAAUCCUAAAGAUUCGAUGACUGAUGAUAUAUUGUAUCGACAUCGUGCAAGUUGCAACGAUCUAACGAUAUCACUCAGUGACGCAACAUCAUUGCGAAUUUA
Bactrocera oleae (olive fruit fly) is the source of this 2165-nucleotide non-coding RNA. Lineage: Eukaryota; Metazoa; Arthropoda; Insecta; Diptera; Tephritidae. The record is from RefSeq and is a predicted model, not a curated record.